Long non-coding RNA from Mesocricetus auratus (golden hamster), 2009 nucleotides. RefSeq lists it as uncharacterized. The transcript is spliced from 2 exons. NCBI's taxonomy places the organism in Eukaryota, Metazoa, Chordata, Mammalia, Rodentia, Cricetidae. The record is from RefSeq and is a predicted model, not a curated record.
UCACAGCCACAGGACUCUAGGAUUCCUACUGCCCUGUUAACUCAUUUCGCCCGUGACAAUGUUCUUGGCUUUAAGUCGUGUUGCAAUCGCAAGAGGUGCCCAGAUUUCGGCAACCCUUCUGUGUUAUUCUACAGACAACACGCCUCCCAUGUCACGGACCACUCCAGCUCGCAAUGGAGCAAUACCCCGCCUGAUACAGGGCCACAUUCUAGCGGGACACCAAACAAACCUUUGUUCCAAAUGUAAGGCCGGUCCCUUUAAGUAGCACUGCUUUUAAAGUCCUUCUGGAUUUUCUACUGCUGUUUUUAAGCUUAGUGUGUUGUUUUAGUGUCUAAUUCUCCACCCGAGGCCCCGUUCUUUUAAGCCCAGUUAUCUCAAGUGAAAUAGAAUGAGAACGAAUAAUGUUUAAAGCCUGUACACAGGGGCCCUGCAUCGGUCAGGUGAUCUCUGCCAGGUGCCAGGCUCGAGAUGAAUGGCUGGCUUGUUCCGUGGCGGGCUGGUGAAGGUUCUCCAGCUUCCCAAGCCAGUUUAGUCAGGUAAGUUCCACAGCUAACUGUUGUGUGGGCUGGUCAUGUGGGCACCUCGCUUUUGACCCAGAACAGCUUAUCUUUCACAGGACCCACCGGGAAUUGGGCAGAGACAGGAGAAAGAAUCAAAUUCCAACCUGGUCGGAACGACACAAGGGCCCACGAUUUCCAGGCUUAAAAGAGGCCUCGGGUCUUGUGAACCCACAGCCCCUGGGGCCACCGUUCUGUCAUGCGUCGCAGAAGCACACCACGUUCAACACGUCUUGAUUUUUGGAUGUUUUCCCAUGUGAAAUUAACUGAGCAAAAAAAUAACAGGAAGCAUUUUUCUCAGCUUCUCCUCUUUGGAAGGCAGAAGGAACUCAAAACACAGCAACUGCCACCACUCCAGGUUCUGGGGGUUUCUGGAGGCCACACCAAACCGUGGAGGGAAUCAGCCUGAGUCUGGGAAGACUACAUGACAGUAAGUUAGGGAGACUACAGAGAAACAACUCAAGAGGGUUAAGCUACCACACCGUUACCUAACUGGGUCGUGAGUUCAACUCCUCCUGUAGCUGGGAGGAGAGAGGAUUUAGGGGGUCCACAAAGGUCUGUCUAACCUGUUUUUACAGUAGCAUCAACACCGAGCUUAGCAGGGGACAUGCACAGAAGUAACUGUCACACAUUAACAUCCAGUGUCUCGUGGAGUUCACAGAGCUACACCCCCAAUACUGCUUCCCCCUAGGACUUCAGAGAACCCUGUUGGAAGCUCCCCUUCCGACCCAAUUCAGGGUGCAUGUUCUCCUUUCAUGAGAAGCCUCACAGCAAAUGAUGGGCAAGGAGCAGGCGGAGGGGUGAAAAGCCUCAGGGUCAGUGUUUCGGGAGGAUGGAGGUUUUAGACAGGGUUUCUCUCUCUGUGCAGCCUGGCUCUCCUGGAACUCGCUGGGUAGACCAGCUAGCCCCCAGCUGUAAGGCUAGCGAUGUCCACAGGAAACUCAUUCAGAGAUAAGGCGGCUACAGACAGGAUACGCUCUUCUGUGUGGUUUGAAGUGGAGUUUCUAUUUUCCAACUAAACACCGGAGGCCACGGGUCAAAGGGGCAAAAUCAUACUCACCAGGGCAGAACAAGGAAACUGCUUCUGCACCAAGCUCCGCCUCCAGUGUGACCGACCACAGUGUGUUACACUGUGAAGUCCCUUGACCAUCCACACGAAGUCUUUUUAGUCACAGAUCCCAGAGAUUAAGAGGAAAACAACGUGGGGCCGUCAUCCUGCUGACCACAUCCCCAAAAUAAGCCGGCGAGAUCACUGUCCUCCUUGGUUCCCUAUUUUCAAAACUGGGAACUAAAUGGAACUGUCUGGAGCAUCAGCUUGGGAAGCUCUCCAGCUGUGGGCCACAGGGUUGAACAGGAAGUCAUAUGGUUCACAGUGCCCAGGACAAGAAGAAAAUGUGUCAAUCUGUGGACUUGACCCUAGAAAAGAAACAUUAAAUUGGUCCUCCCACCUCA